UACGGAGGGUGCAAGCGUUAUCCGGAUUCACUGGGUUUAAAGGGUGCGUAGGCGGGUUGGUAAGUCAGGGGUGAAAUCCCGGGGCUCAACCUCGGAACUGCCUUUGAUACUGCAAAUCUCGAGUCCGGAAGAGGUGAGUGGAAUUCCUAGUGUAGAGGUGAAAUUCGUAGAUAUUAGGAAGAACACCAGUGGCGAAGGCGGCUCACUGGUCCGGUACUGACGCUGAGGUGCGAAAGCGUGGGGAGCAAACAGG
Molecule: ribosomal RNA, 253 nt
Filed under: uncultured prokaryote
Description: partial 16S ribosomal RNA
Rfam family: Bacterial small subunit ribosomal RNA
Source: RNAcentral